RNAcentral lists this ribosomal RNA (253 nucleotides) under uncultured bacterium. RNAcentral's name for it is "partial 16S ribosomal RNA". It matches the Rfam family "Bacterial small subunit ribosomal RNA", at positions 524 to 776 of the family's 1533-position model. The record is from RNAcentral.
UACGUAGGGUGCAAGCGUUGUCCGGAAUUAUUGGGCGUAAAGAGCUCGUAGGCGGUCUGUCGCGUCGGCUGUGAAAACCCGGGGCUCAACUCCGGGCCUGCAGUCGAUACGGGCAAACUGGAGUGUUGCAGGGGAGACUGGAAUUCCUGGUGUAGCGGUGAAAUGCGCAGAUAUCAGGAGGAACACCGGUGGCGAAGGCGGGUCUCUGGGCAACAACUGACGCUGAGGAGCGAAAGCGUGGGGAGCGAACAGG